UAGAGGAAGUAAAAGUCGUAACAAGGUUUCCGUAGGUGAACCUGCGGAAGGAUCAUUACAUUCAGUAGCUUGCUACUGUUAGGGGGGUCUAUCAGCCUGUAUAGUAUCACUACUGAUGAGCAGCACGACCCUCUGUCUGUACCCUUGUCUUUUGCGCACUCAUGUUUCCUCGGCGGGUUUACACCCGCCGGCUGGACAACUCUAUAACCUUUUUAAUUUUCAAUCAGCGUCUGAAAAACCUAAUAAUUACAACUUUCAACAACGGAUCUCUUGGUUCUGGCAUCGAUGAAGAACGCAGCGAAAUGCGAUAAGUAGUGUGAAUUGCAGAAUUCAGUGAAUCAUCGAAUCUUUGAACGCACAUUGCGCCCCUUGGUAUUCCAUGGGGCAUGCCUGUUCGAGCGUCAUUUGUACCCUCAAGCUCUGCUUGGUGUUGGGUGUUUGUCCACUCCCUAGUGUUUGGACUCGCCUCAAAGCAAUUGGCAGCCAGUGUUUUGGUAUUGAAGCGCAGCACAUUUUGCGAUUCUAGCCUAGAAUACUAGCGUCCAGUAAGCCUUUUUCCACUUUGACCUCGGAUCAGUAGAGCCCGAAAGCU
RNAcentral lists this ribosomal RNA (592 nucleotides) under fungal endophyte sp. M11-3351. Its description in RNAcentral is "eukaryotic LSU rRNA". The stretch from base 251 to 404 matches the Rfam family "5.8S ribosomal RNA". The record is from RNAcentral. Lineage: Eukaryota; Fungi.